UAGUCAUACGCUCGUCUCAAAGAUUAAGCCAUGCAUGUGUAAGUAUAAAUAUUUGACUUUGAAACUGCGAAUGGCUCAUUAUAUCAGUUAUAGUUUAUUUGAUGAAAAGUACUACUUGGAUAACCGUAGUAAUUCUAGAGCUAAUACAUGAUAAAAUCCUCGACUUUGAAGAGGUGUAUUUAUUAGAAUGAAACCAAGAGACUUCGGUCUAUUUGUGAGUAAUAAUAACUAAUCGUAUCGCAUGCUUAGGUAGCGAUAUGUCUUUCAAGUUUCUGCCCUAUCAGCUUUGGAUGGUAGUGUAUUGGACUACCAUGGCAGUAACGGGUAACGAAGAAUUUGGGUUCGAUUUCGGAGAGGGAGCCUGAGAGAUGGCUACCACAUCCAAGGAAGGCAGCAGGCGCGUAAAUUACCCAAUCCUGACAUAGGGAGGUAGUGACAAUAAAUCACAAUGCGGAACUAUUAGUUUUGCAAUUGGAUUGAGAACAAUGUACAAAUGUUAUCGAUAAACAAUUGGAGGGCAAGUCUGGUGCCAGCAGCCGC
This 540-nucleotide ribosomal RNA is filed under the name Blastocystis sp. subtype 4. RNAcentral's name for it is "SSU rRNA". It matches the Rfam family "Eukaryotic small subunit ribosomal RNA", at positions 21 to 577 of the family's 1831-position model. Lineage: Eukaryota; Bigyra; Opalinata; Blastocystidae. The record is from RNAcentral.